GUCACAUGAUGUCUGAAACAGCCCAAUAGUCAGUCAGUCGUGAUUCCUUUGGGCCAAGGGAGGACAGCGGGCACAAAGCUGAGGGGAGAGGCAGGGGGCCUGAGGCUGGGUGAUGGAGGAUUGGCAGCCGUGAUUAUUUUGGGCCAAGGGAGGACAGGGGGCACAAAGCUGAGGGGAGAGGCAGGGGGCCUGAGGCUGGGUGAUGGAGGAUUGUCAGCCGUGAUUAUUUCGGGCCAAGGGAGGACAGGGGGCGCAAAGGGGCUAGGUGGUGAUGAAGAAUAAGAUAGGGCCGAGGAGGAGGACAAGCCAGAUCACCAUCCUCAACAGAUGGCAGAGAAACAGAGCUGGAUCGUUGAAAUGGGGAUCAAUAUUCAGAAGCCCAUGGUAACACUGAGUAUGACACCGGCUGUAUUAACAUGGAAAUAUCAUGCAGUAUCUCCAGUAACUUGGCUUUCCAACUUUGCUGGUUUCAUUUGCAGCAGAGACGCCUGUGCUGCUCGGCCUCACUGGGACCAGAAGACCACACUGCCUGUGCUGCUCGGCCUCACUGGGACCAAAAGACCACACUGCCUGUGCUGCUCGGCCUCACUGGGACCAGAAGACCACACUGCCUGUGCUGCUCGGCCUCACUGGGACCAGAAGACCACACUGCCUGUGUUGCUAGGCAUCACUGGGACCAGAAGACCACACUGCCUGUGCAGCUCGGCAUCACUGGAACCAGAAGACCACACUGCCUGUGCAGCUCGGCAUCACCGGGAACAGAAGACCACACUGCCUGUGCUGGGCCCAGCAACAUCCUAGUACCUAUACCUGUAAUUAACGCUUAGGAUGGCGGGGGACAUAUGACAGCCAGGCACUUAUAGUUGCAAUAAGAAGUUAGGCUUUUAAAGGUAUGAGCCAAUGGUCAUCUAUUAGGCAUUUAUUCAGUAGUCAUUAUCUAAAAAGUGUUUAUUUAGUCACAACCUGGAUGUUGCUGGGCCCAGCACAGAAAGACACAGAUGUACUGCAUGUUCCUUAAUGUUGGCACUAUAUGUAACAGCAAUCAACCUAUAGUUGUAUCUCCAGUGGUGCGUUUACAUUUAGUCUCAAAUACGAGCUGGUUAAAAGGAGGACUAAAUGUCACAGGUAGUGAUAAACGCUGUACUAUAGUUGCCUAUGUAUACGUGUGUGUGUGUGAGGGUGUUUUCCUGACCACCAUGUGAUCAAAGCAGGAAUUACUCUAGGGCCUGGUUGUAGCCCCUUCAUACAGACCAGGUGGAAGAGAAUAUUCCAUUGAAUUAGCUCAAUAUUCAGUGUUGGACUAAUGGAGGCAAUAUUCCAUCUGUCAUCUAGAUGGUACUCUUGAAUUCAACAGUUUUUUGUAAGUCUAAAAUAGUCUAUGUAUAAAUCAACUAUUAGUAUAUCAAUCAUUGACUCUCUCGAUAGAUAUAAAUGCAUAUUCUCUGUAAUGUGGGGAAAUGAGAUUAGUUUAUGAGCAAUAAAUACUCAAUUAGGUCCAUUUCAGGAUUUCCUUUGACAUGGCAAAUGGCUCCAUCUGGUGGUUAAAUAUGACUAGUGCACAGCAGUCUAGCAGAAACAUCACCAGUCCGUUGAAUGUUGAAAACAGUUUACUACAAUACAUAUAAAAACCCAAAUUUCAGAGCAUUUAAAAAAAAAAAAAUUGGUGAGAUACACCAAAACGUGGAACACUUUGAAAAAAAAAAUGGUCAAAAAUGGACUACAAAUGGACUACAAAUGAAAAUCUUUUGAGUAAAUAUAAAUAAAAAAAUGAAAAACAGACAACCGUUACAUUUGUCCUAAAUAGAGAUGGUUCUGAAGAGAGAAGGAUAUCCAAGUAAUCUUUCACUUGUUUCUAUUACUACAGUGACAAGAGAACUCAGGACUCAGUUGCUCCUUAAAGUG
Molecule: long non-coding RNA, 1902 nt
Organism: Oncorhynchus kisutch (coho salmon)
Lineage: Eukaryota; Metazoa; Chordata; Actinopteri; Salmoniformes; Salmonidae
Exons: 3
Source: RefSeq, a predicted model, not a curated record